This 601-nucleotide ribosomal RNA is filed under the name Paraconiothyrium sp. 1 CBS 113682. RNAcentral's name for it is "eukaryotic LSU rRNA". The stretch from base 253 to 406 matches the Rfam family "5.8S ribosomal RNA". The record is from RNAcentral. Lineage: Eukaryota; Fungi; Ascomycota; Dothideomycetes; Pleosporales; Didymosphaeriaceae.
CGUAACAAGGUUUCCGUAGGUGAACCUGCGGAAGGAUCAUUAUCUAUUCCAUGAGGUGUGGUCGCGGCCCUCGGUGGGAGCAAUACUGCUGCCACCGGGCGGUAGAGGUAACACUUUCACGCGCCACAUGUCUGAAUCCUUUUUUUUACGAGCACCUUUCGUUCUCCUUCGGUGGGGCAACCUGCCGUUGGAACCUAUCAAAACCCUUUUUUUGCAUCUAGCAUUACCUGUUCUGACACAAACAAUCGUUACAACUUUCAACAAUGGAUCUCUUGGCUCUGGCAUCGAUGAAGAACGCAGCGAAAUGCGAUAAGUAGUGUGAAUUGCAGAAUUCAGUGAAUCAUCGAAUCUUUGAACGCACAUUGCGCCCCUUGGUAUUCCAUGGGGCAUGCCUGUUCGAGCGUCAUCUACACCCUCAAGCUCUGCUUGGUGUUGGGCGUCUGUCCCGCCUCUGCGCGCGGACUCGCCCCAAAUGCAUUGGCAGCGGUCCUUGCCUCCUCUCGCGCAGCACAUUGCGCUUCUCGAGGUGCGCGGCCCGCGUCCACGAAGCAACAUUACCGUCUUUGACCUCGGAUCAGGUAGGGAUACCCGCUGAACUUAA